This 468-nucleotide ribosomal RNA is filed under the name uncultured bacterium. RNAcentral describes it as "partial 16S ribosomal RNA". It matches the Rfam family "Bacterial small subunit ribosomal RNA", at positions 28 to 507 of the family's 1533-position model. The record is from RNAcentral.
GACGAACGCUGGCGGCGUGCUUAACACAUGCAAGUCGAACGGAAAGGCCCUGCUUUUGUGGGGUGCUCGAGUGGCGAACGGGUGAGUAACACGUGAGUAACCUGCCCUUGACGUUGGGAUAACUUCAGGAAACUGGGGCUAAUACCGGAUAGGAGCUCCUGCUGCAUGGUGGGGGUUGGAAAGUUUCGGCGGUUGGGGAUGGACUCGCGGCUUAUCAGCUUGUUGGUGGGGUAGUGGCUUACCAAGGCUUUGACGGGUAGCCGGCCUGAGAGGGUGACCGGCCACAUUGGGACUGAGAUACGGCACAGACUCCUACGGGAGGCAGCAGUGGGGAAUAUUGCACAAUGGGCGGAAGCCUGAUGCAGCAACGCCGCGUGCGGGAUGACGGCCUUCGGGUUGUAAACCGCUUUCGCCUGUGACGAAGCGUGAGUGACGGUAAUGGGUAAAGAAGCACCGGCUAACUACGUG